This 450-nucleotide ribosomal RNA is filed under the name uncultured bacterium. RNAcentral's name for it is "partial 16S ribosomal RNA". It matches the Rfam family "Bacterial small subunit ribosomal RNA", at positions 354 to 796 of the family's 1533-position model. The record is from RNAcentral.
GUGGGGAAUAUUGGACAAUGGGCGAAAGCCUGAUCCAGCCAUGCCGCGUGUGUGAAGAAGGUCUUCGGAUUGUAAAGCACUUUAAGUUGGGAGGAAGGGCAGUAAGUUAAUACCUUGCUGUUUUGACGUUACCGACAGAAUAAGCACCGGCUAACUUCGUGCCAGCAGCCGCGGUAAUACGAAGGGUGCAAGCGUUAAUCGGAAUUACUGGGCGUAAAGCGCGCGUAGGUGGUUUUGUAAGUUGGAGGUGAAAUCCCCGGGCUCAACCUGGGAACUGCCUCCAAAACUGCAUGACUAGAGUACGGUAGAGGGUAGUGGAAUUUCCUGUGUAGCGGUGAAAUGCGUAGAUAUAGGAAGGAACACCAGUGGCGAAGGCGACUACCUGGACUGAUACUGACACUGAGGCGCGAAAGCGUGGGGAGCAAACAGGAUUAGAUACCCGGGUAGUCC